Dendronephthya gigantea is the source of this 421-nucleotide long non-coding RNA. RefSeq lists it as uncharacterized. The record is from RefSeq and is a predicted model, not a curated record. Lineage: Eukaryota; Metazoa; Cnidaria; Anthozoa; Malacalcyonacea; Nephtheidae. The transcript has 4 exons.
AAGUCAUUGACGAACUGAAGUUUCUCUGUGAAGUUUUGAGAUCUUUACUGUUGUUAGACUGCAAAUAUCUAAGAUACAUUCUCUACACAAAUGGAUUUCCGUCUGAAUAUUUGUCUGUUGUUCGUACUUUUCGUGGCAUUUUCAGAUGUUGAAGGCCAUGAACCUGUACAACAAAAAGCUUGUAACAUUGCAGUGGGCGGUUAUUGUAUCCCUGGGGGUGAGCUUUGUCCUCCGCCCGAUGUUCCGUGUGGCUAUGAAUGUCCUGAACCCUUUUAUCAAUGCUGUUGCUGACGUGAUGGAAAAUAAAACUGGAAUGGUGUAAUUUGGCAUCUGGUUUUUUCAGUUUACUUUGAUUAAUUAAAGGGGUAGAUUUAAAGUUUGAAACAUUACAGUUUAUAUAUUUGGGCGAAUAAACGAAUAU